UCCGGGUUGGACCCGGCGGUCCCGCCAGACAUGGUAACUGGCAGCGAGGGUUGCGCUCGUUGCGGGACUUAACCCAACACCUCACGGCACGAGCUGACGACAGCCAUGCAGCAUCUGUGCACGCUCCCUUGCGGGUCAUCACCGUUUCCGGCUUUUACCACGUGCAUGUCAAGCCCAGGUAAGGUGGGGAUGACGUGUAACCGAAUCU
Molecule: unclassified non-coding RNA, 208 nt
Filed under: uncultured Chloroflexota bacterium
Lineage: Bacteria; Bacillati; Chloroflexota
Description: uncultured Chloroflexi bacterium contains 16S-23S intergenic spacer region
Source: RNAcentral